Non-coding RNA from Hydra vulgaris (swiftwater hydra), 522 nucleotides. NCBI's taxonomy places the organism in Eukaryota, Metazoa, Cnidaria, Hydrozoa, Anthoathecata, Hydridae. The record is from RefSeq and is a predicted model, not a curated record.
UUAUAUCUAGCUGCUGCUUCCUCUGGUACAAUUGCUGCUUCCUCUGGUACAAUAGAUUUUUUGUAUGUAUCACCUUGGUAGAUUUUUAUUUCCGACUCGAAAUCAAGGAAAAAUAUCAAAGAAUAUUGCUCCCAGCAUCCCGGCCCUCUAUUCCAGAGGGCAUUUUAUUGCUGGUGCAGGUAUGAGGAAGACCAUCCUUCCAUUAGAUGGAGGGAUGGCGUCCCAUACAGCACCAAGGAAAUAGGGGAUGCUGGGAGGAGAGGGCGUGGCGCAACAGUUGUAAAUUAUUUCUUCACAUUUUAGAUUUACAAUUCUUAGGCCACAGUUUUUUUUUUUGUAAUUUAUUUUUUAAAUAUAAUUUUGUGUUGUUUUUUAAUUUUUUCCAUUAAUUUUAAUGCCAUCAAGUUAAUUAAAUGAUUUAAAUAAAGACACUUUUUUUAAAAUGUUUUUUAAAGGUUUAUGUAUGUUUUUAUAAGUGUGUGCAGUUAGUAGUUUAAAUAUGUUUAAUAAACUCAGGAUAAC